This 403-nucleotide long non-coding RNA is filed under the name Phaseolus vulgaris (common bean). RNAcentral describes it as "long non-coding RNA (PVUL_LNC002836)". Lineage: Eukaryota; Viridiplantae; Streptophyta; Magnoliopsida; Fabales; Fabaceae. The record is from RNAcentral.
UAGGAUCACCAUAAUUGUAGUUUCGUGGAACAUCAUAAAGAAGGUGUCCAUCUUAAAAGUUCCAAAACAUUUGUAAUUGAAUAAAUCAGUAUAUAAUUAAUACACAUAAAAUAUUGAGAAAAAAGAACACAAAUAAUGAAAAUAAAAAGUUAUAGAAAGAAAAGUUGUUGUUAGACAUGGUGGGUUACUUACGUGGUUUGUGAGGAUCUGAAUUCCAAAGGGGUACCCUUGCUGUGGCCAUUUUCAUUGAUAAAAGAACCACAACUACCAAAAUCAUCUUCAUCAAAACCUUCUUACACUGACCCAUCUUAGAAGGAAAAAGAAAAUACAAAUAUGUGAGAAUAUAGGAUGGAAACUACAUAUUUAUAUAUGAAUAGAGAGAGGAAUCCAUGUUAAGAAAAAU